GAUGAACGCUGGCGGCGUGCCUAAUACAUGCAAGUCGAGCGAACAGACGAGGAGCUUGCUCCUCUGACGUUAGCGGCGGACGGGUGAGUAACACGUGGAUAACCUACCUAUAAGACUGGGAUAACUUCGGGAAACCGGAGCUAAUACUGGAUAAUAUAUUGAACCGCAUGGUUCAAUAGUGAAAGACGGUUUUGCUGUCACUUAUAGAUGGAUCCGCGCCGCAUUAGCUAGUUGGUAAGGUAACGGCUUACCAAGGCAACGAUGCGUAGCCGACGUGAGAGGGGGAUCGGCCACACUGGAACUGAUGCGCGGUCCAGACGCCUACGGGAGGCGGCAGUAGGGAAUCUUCCGCAAUGGGCGGAAGCAUGACGGAGCAGCGCCGCGUGAGUGAUGAAGGUCUUCUGAUCGUAAAGCUCUGUUAUUAGGGAAGAACAAAUGUGUAAGUAACUAUGCGCGUCUUGACGGUACCUAGUCAGAAAGCCACGGCUAACUACGUG
RNAcentral lists this ribosomal RNA (497 nucleotides) under uncultured bacterium. RNAcentral describes it as "partial 16S ribosomal RNA". It matches the Rfam family "Bacterial small subunit ribosomal RNA", at positions 28 to 507 of the family's 1533-position model. The record is from RNAcentral.